GAAGUGCGAUAAGCAAUGCGAAUUGCAGAAUUCCGCGAAUCAUCAGAUCUUUGAACGCAAAUGGCGCCAGAGGGAUAUCCUUCUGGCAUGUCUGUUUCAGUGUCUGAGAGGUUUCACAAUAAUCUUAAUGUGAUUGAACUGAAGUUAGUUAGUUUAUUCUAGCUUUCAUCUUUUCUCUCAUGAAAGAUGCGCGAGGGGAUCUUUCGGUCCAAUGAAGUGGUCACAUCACUCGAAUGUGAUUUCAUUGGAAGCACCGAAUUAUCAUUAUAAAAAACUCGCGGUAUCAUUUUUAUUGUUAAUAGUGAUGGUGAUGUUUCAUCAUCAUCGUUAUUACACUCUCCACACCCUGCAUCUGAGAUAGGCAAGAUCACCCGCUGAACUUAA
Molecule: unclassified non-coding RNA, 384 nt
Filed under: uncultured fungus
Lineage: Eukaryota; Fungi
Description: sequence contains ITS1
Rfam family: 5.8S ribosomal RNA (bases 1-105)
Source: RNAcentral